Molecule: transfer RNA, 72 nt
Filed under: Camelus bactrianus (Bactrian camel)
Lineage: Eukaryota; Metazoa; Chordata; Mammalia; Artiodactyla; Camelidae
Also listed under: 2 other names
Rfam family: tRNA
About the family: Transfer RNA (tRNA) molecules are approximately 80 nucleotides in length.
Source: Rfam by way of RNAcentral
GAGGAUAUACCUCAGUGGUAGAGCACAUGCUUAGAAUGCAUGAGGUCCUAGGUUCAGUCCCCAGUACCUCCA